CACCUCUAGCAUUACUAGUAUUAGAGGCAUCGCCUGCCCAGUGACUCACGUUAAACGGCCGCGGUAUUCUGACCGUGCAAAGGUAGCAUAAUCACUUGUUUCUUAAUUAGGGACUAGCAUGAAUGGCUCGACGAGGGUUUAACUGUCUCUUACAUUUGAUCUAUGAAAUUGACCUCUCCGUGAAGAGGCGGAGAUAUAAUAAUAAGACGAGAAGACCCUAUGGAGCUUCAAUUAACUAGUUUAUUUUAACAUAACAUUACCCUACCAAGGCUUAAUAAACAUAAAAUUAAACUAGUAAUUUUGGUUGGGGUGACCUCGGAGAAUAACAUAUCCUCCGAAAGAUUUUAUUUCAGACCUACAAGUCUAACAAGUAGAACAUCAUAGUCUACUAUCUUAAAUUGAUCCAGAUAAUAUCUGAGCAAUGGACCAAGUUACCCUAGGGAUAACAGCGCAAUCUUUCUAGAGAGUCCAUAUCGAUAGAAGGGUUUACGACCUCGAUGUUGGAUCAGGACAUCCUAAUGGUGCAGCAGCUAUUAAAGGUUCGUUUGUUCAACGAUUAAAGUCCU
RNAcentral lists this ribosomal RNA (566 nucleotides) under Heteromys pictus (painted spiny pocket mouse). RNAcentral describes it as "Liomys pictus (painted spiny pocket mouse) partial 16S ribosomal RNA". It matches the Rfam family "Bacterial large subunit ribosomal RNA", at positions 1816 to 2597 of the family's 2925-position model. Lineage: Eukaryota; Metazoa; Chordata; Mammalia; Rodentia; Heteromyidae. The record is from RNAcentral.